UGGGGAAUUUUGGACAAUGGGGGCAACCCUGAUCCAGCCAUGCCGCGUGAGUGAAGAAGGCCUUCGGGUUGUAAAGCUCUUUCGGCGGGGACGAAAUGGCAACGGCUAAUAUCCGUUGUUGAUGACGGUACCCGCAUAAGAAGCACCGGCUAACUACGUGCCAGCAGCCGCGGUAAUACGUAGGGUGCGAGCGUUAAUCGGAAUUACUGGGCGUAAAGCGUGCGCAGGCGGUUUCGUAAGACAGACGUGAAAUCCCCGGGCUCAACCUGGGAACUGCGUUUGUGACGGCGAGGCUAGAGUACGGCAGAGGGGGGGAGAAUUCAACGUGUAGCAGGGAAAUGCGUAGAGAUGGGGAGGAAUACCGAUGGCGAAGGCAGCCCCCUGGGUGAGUACUGACGCUCAGGCACGAAAGCGUGGGGAGCAAACA
RNAcentral lists this ribosomal RNA (427 nucleotides) under uncultured bacterium. RNAcentral's name for it is "bacterial SSU rRNA". It matches the Rfam family "Bacterial small subunit ribosomal RNA", at positions 355 to 774 of the family's 1533-position model. The record is from RNAcentral.